RNAcentral lists this ribosomal RNA (907 nucleotides) under uncultured bacterium. Its description in RNAcentral is "bacterial SSU rRNA". It matches the Rfam family "Bacterial small subunit ribosomal RNA", at positions 48 to 986 of the family's 1533-position model. The record is from RNAcentral.
CUAGCACAUGCAAGUCGAACGGAGUUAUAUUGUAGCUUGCUAUGGUAUAACUUAGUGGCAGACGGGUGAGUAAUGUAUAGGAAUCUACCUAGUAGUACGGAAUAAUUGUUGGAAACGGCAACUAAUACCGUAUACGCCCUACGGGGGAAAAAUUUAUUGCUAUUAGAUGAGCCUAUAUUAGAUUAGUUAGUUGGUGAGGUAAAGGCUUACCAAGACAAUGAUCUAUAGCUGAUCUGAGAGGAUGAUCAGCCACACUGGAACUGAGAUACGGUCCAGACUCCUACGGGAGGCAGCAGUGGGGAAUAUUGGACAAUGGGCGAAAGCCUGAUCCAGCCAUGCCGCAUGAGUGAAGAAGGCCUUCGGGUUGUAAAGCUCUUUUAGUGAGGAAGAUAAUGACGGUACUCACAGAAGAAGUCCUGGCUAACUCCGUGCCAGCAGCCGCGGUAAUACGGAGAGGGCUAGCGUUAUUCGGAAUCAUUGGGCGUAAAGGGCGCGUAGGCGGGUUAGUAAGUUAAAAGUGAAAUCCCAAGGCUCAACCUUGGAACUGCUUUUAAAACUGCUAGUCUAGAGAUUGAAAGAGGAUAGAGGAAUUCCUAGUGUAGAGGUGAAAUUCGUAAAUAUUAGGAGGAAUACCAGUGGCGAAGGCGUCUAUCUGGUUCAAAUCUGACGCUGAGGCGCGAAGGCGUGGGGAGCAAACAGGAUUAGAUACCCUGGUAGUCCACGCUGUAAACGAUGAAUGUUAAAUAUGGGAAGUUUACUUUCUGUAUUAUAGCUAACGCGUUAAACAUUCCGCCUGGGGACUACGGUCGCAAGAUUAAAACUCAAAGGAAUUGACGGGGACCCGCACAAGCGGUGGAGCAUGUGGUUUAAUUCGAUGCAACGCGAAAAACCUUACCACUCCUUGACA